UGAAGCCACACCCACAUUAUGACUCACAAAACAGGAAGCAGCGUUCAGUGUUUCUCUGCUCACCAACAGACUCUGAGAUUCACCGUUCUACUCUAGAGAAAAUUUGACUAAAUCACAACAAAAACUGAGAAGAGUGAGAUACUGCCUUAUAAACAACUACAGGAGGAAAUACUGUCAUUUACAGAUACUUUAACUCACUGCUGACUGAAUCGGAGUGAACGUAAACGUCAUACUACAGCAGGAGGGUGAGAAAAUGGCGUCCAGCUCGUCUCUCCCAGAGGAGGAUCUCUCCUGUCCUAUGUGCUGUGACAUCUUUAAUGAUCCUGUCCUCCUGUCAUGUAGCCACAGCUUCUGUAAAGACUGCCUGCAGGAAUACUGGAAACAGAGAGAAUCACGUGAAUGCCCACUCUGUAGGAGAAGAUCUUCCAAUCCAGAUCCACCAUGUAACCUGGUCCUGAAGAACCUGUGUGAGUCCUUCUUACAGGAGAGACGAGGGUCUGAGGUGCUCUGCAGUCUGCACAGUGAGAAACUCAAGCUCUUCUGUCUGGAUGAUAAACAGCCAGUGUGUGUGGUGUGUCAAACGUCGAAACCACACUCCAACCACAGAUGUAUACCCAUAGAUGAAGCUGCACAGAAUCAUAAGAAGGAACUCCAGCCUGCUCUGAAGUCCUUACAGGAGAAGCUUAAGAUCUUUAAUGAAGUUAAACAGACCUGUGAUCAAACCACAAAUCAUAUUAAGAUCCAGACACAGCACACAGAGAGGCAGAUUAAGGAGGAGUUUAAGAAGCUUCACCAGUUUCUACAAGAGGAAGAGGAGGCCAGGAUAGCUGCACUGAGGAAGGAGGAGGAGCAGAAGAAUCAGGUGAUGAAGGAGAAGAUUGAGGGGCUGAGCAGAGAGAUAUCAACACUUUCACACACAAUCAGAGCCAUAGAGGAGGAGCUGAGAGCUGAAGACAUCUCAUUCCUGCAGAACUACAAGGACACAGUGAAAAGAGCCCAGUCCACUCUGCCGGAUCCACAGCUGGUCUCAAGAGCACUGAUAGAUGUGGCCAAACAUCUGGGCAACCUGACCUUCAGAGUCUGGGAGAAGAUGCAGAACGUUGUCACAUGCACUCCUGUGAUUCUAGACCCCAACACUGCCCAUCCAGACCUCAUCCUGUCUGAGGAUCUGACCAGUGUGAGACUCAGUCAGGAGAGACAGCAGCUUCCUGACAACCCAGAGAGGUUUGAUUACUAUGGAUGGGUCCUGGGCUCUGAGGGCUUUAACUCAGGGACACACAGCUGGGAUGUUGAGGUUGGAGACAGUACAGUCUGGUACCUGGGUGUGGUAGCAGAGUCUGUCCAGAGGAAGGGGGUCUUAUGGGGUGGAGACUGGGGGAUCUGGUUCUACCAUGGUGAAUAUAAAGCAAGAUCUUCAUCAGCUCUGUUAACUGCUCUCACAGUGAGACAGAAACCUCAGAGGAUCAGAUUGCAGCUGGACUAUGACAGAGGAAAGCUGUCAUUCUCCGACUCUGAUAGAAACACACACCUACACACAUUCACACACACCUUCAUUGAGAGAGUGUUUCCUUACAUUGGUAAUCGCUGCAUUCUGCACUCUCUGAGGAUCUUACCAGUGAGGGAGGGAGAGAAGAGACAGAUAAGAGGGGGAGAGGAUGGAGAGAGGGAAGAGAGGGGGAGAAAGAAGAGAGAAAAUAGAAAAAGGAGGAAAAGGAGAAGGAGAGAGGAAGGACAGAUGAGUGAGAGAGUGGAGUGAGAGGACAAAUAGAGGAAGGAGUGUGGGAAGGAGAGAGGAGAGGGGGUAGAAAGGACAAAGAGAGAUGAGGGAGAGGGGUGAGAGGUAGUGGAGAGAGCAGAGAGAUAACAUAGUGAGAGACAGAGGAGGGAGACAUAGAAGGAGUUGAGGAGGGGGGGAGAGAGUGUCUCAUACAAACGACAAGGGCCACCUAUCCCACCAAUGAGGCAAAAGGGGCGGAGUCAGGCCAGCGGCAAAUCAGUGGACACGGCUAUCCCCAACCCGUAGACCAUCAACGAAUAAAAGAGAGAGUGGUAUAUUUAACACCCAAUGAAGUGAAGAAGUAACUCAUCUGGCGAUUGGAUGUUGUAUCUCAUGACCAAUCAGAGGAGAGAUGGAACGAGGGUCUGAUAGAAACCUCCAAGUGACAUGGGGCUGGUGGAGGAUAUAACCUCAGCACUCAGGUGGUGAAAGCUGCACAGCUCUCAGGUGGUGAAAGCUGCACAGCUCUCAGAGUACAGAUGAGUCUGUCUACUAACUCCUCCAUGACUGGAGCAGGAGGGAGAGGCUGUCUGGUAUCCACUGGUGUAGGGCCAGCCUCCUCUCAUUGCAGUCCAGUAUUAAUCACUGGGAGGAGCUGGAGAUCUGAUCCUGGAUCAGAAGCUGCUUUUGCUCAUGUUAGGUGACAGGUCAUCUGUUCAUCAUUCCGUCUGGUGUUAAAUUAACCACAUUCCUUCUGCAAUUCAUCUAGCUGACACACACAAACACGUACUCAUACACACAUACACACACUAAAACACACACCUCUGUAUUUUAUGAACAGAGAUGAGAUUGUUCAGAGACCAGACUGUCAGUCAAGUCCUCCUUUCUCUUCUGUUCAGUUCAAUAAAGAUUCAUUGGAUUCGG
RNA transcript from Osmerus eperlanus (European smelt), 2641 nucleotides. It is a transcript of the gene named nuclear factor 7, ovary-like, with no coding region annotated. Lineage: Eukaryota; Metazoa; Chordata; Actinopteri; Osmeriformes; Osmeridae. The transcript has 7 exons. The record is from RefSeq and is a predicted model, not a curated record.